CUGAUAGUCCUGGAGAAUGAGGUAGUCUGUUUAUCCAAAGCACAGCCAUUAUGUUUGUACCAGCUUCUCUAAACUGUCCCUCAACCCUGACCUGGAGCAACAGCCUCUAGAGGUGAGAGAGUAAUUCAGACUUCAUUCAUUAGUCUUUGUCCCAC
Molecule: small RNA, 155 nt
Filed under: Gopherus agassizii (Agassiz's desert tortoise)
Lineage: Eukaryota; Metazoa; Chordata; Testudines; Testudinidae
Description: TUC338 (ENSGAGG00000013477.1)
Source: RNAcentral